This is a long non-coding RNA of Eurytemora carolleeae, 411 nucleotides long. RefSeq lists it as uncharacterized. The transcript has 2 exons. Lineage: Eukaryota; Metazoa; Arthropoda; Copepoda; Calanoida; Temoridae. The record is from RefSeq and is a predicted model, not a curated record.
AGAAAACGAGACAAAAAAGAUUUCAAGAAGCGGAAUACUUAUGGAAACAUUCACAUCCUCCAGAGUUUGAUAAAUACAGGAUUAAAGGAUGAGAUUUUAGAGACGACCGUAGGGAAUAUUUUAUUACAUUUAUCGUUUCCUGAAGCUGUAAAAUUUGUCUUUUACUCCCCUAAAUAAUUAUUCUUUCAUUUGAAAGUCCACAAGUCGUCGUUAGAAUCUCUUCCUUUGUUGACAACCCUGUAUGAAAAUGCAUUAUUGAUUAGAUGCAUAAAAUCAGUCAUUUUCAAUUUUUUUAAAGCGUUUUUUGACCAGGCAAAUACAUAUAUUGAAUAUAGUUUAUCUUUGUACAUUUGAAAAAUAAGAAAGAAUAUGAAUAAACUAUAAUAUAUUUGAUUAAAAGAAAGUAGAUAG